AGAGAGAGACAUGCGCGCAUAUCAAUAAGCGGAGGAAAAGAAACUAACUAAGGAUUCCCCUAGUAACGGCGAGUGAAGCGGGAAGAGCUCAAAUUUGAAAUCUUAAAGGGUUUUCCCUUGACGAAUUGUAGUUUAAAGAAGUGUUUUCUGUUGGAAGUUUUGGUAAAAGUUCUUUGGAAUAGGACAUCAUAGAGGGUGAGAAUCCCGUAUUUGACCAUUAUUUUCAGCUGUGUGAUACACUUUCAAAGAGUCGGACUGUUUGGGAAUGCAGUCCAAAAUGGGUGGUAAAUUUCAUCUAAAGCUAAAUAUUGGCGAGAGACCGAUAGCGAACAAGUACCGUGAGGGAAAGAUGAAAAGAACUUUGAAAAGAGAGUUAAACAGUACGUGAAAUUGUCAAAAGGGAAGCGUUUGACACCAGUGUUGUUUUUCUGAAAAUCAAUUAAAAAGGAACUGGAUUUAUGCUAGUUGUAUUAGACUUUAUCAGCUUACUGCUUUAGUUUUUGAUCUUUUCUUUAAUGCACUUUUCAGUUAACAAGUCAACAUCAAUUUCUUUUGCUGUAAAAAAGCUUGAGGAAGGUGGCUUGAGAUUCGUCUUAAGUGUUUAUAGCCUCUUGCCUAUGCAGUCGGAGAGAUUGAGGUCUGCAGCGUAGAUCCUUCGGGGCUAAAUGCAUUUGUGCUAAGUUAUAGCUUUUUAUAGACAACUUGUUGACUAUGAUUAGUCUUGUAGCUUACUCGCUUAUGCUAUUUUACCUACGCUUAGGAUGUUGAUGUGAUACUGCGAGCA
This 784-nucleotide ribosomal RNA is filed under the name uncultured Neocallimastigales. Its description in RNAcentral is "partial large subunit ribosomal RNA". It matches the Rfam family "Eukaryotic large subunit ribosomal RNA", at positions 23 to 646 of the family's 3401-position model. Lineage: Eukaryota; Fungi; Neocallimastigomycota; Neocallimastigomycetes; Neocallimastigales. The record is from RNAcentral.